GUGGCUUUUAAACCACUGUGGCUGUACAGAGAGUUUAUUAAGGCUGUGGCUGUCGGCAAAUCACAUUUCCCUCUGCAGAACACAGAAGAUGAAAAAUGGAUCAAAGGUUACAAGUGGUCCAUGAGCCACUUGCAUCCCAGAGAUCUAUUUCGCCUUUGAUAUAUUUUUAAAAUUUUUUGAUUGAGACAAUUUUAGAUUGGGUUUGUCCCAGAACCCAGCAUUCCCUGAUGUCUCAUAUGUGGCUGCUUCUCACAUUUAUGACAACUGAAUGAUAUCUGGUUUUAAUCCGGGAUUGUAAACAUCAGUUCUGGAUUCUGAUGCAAUGACAAAAAGCUGAAAGUGGAACCGUAAAAGGGUGGGACUCUUGUCAGAGCAAGAUGAAUGCUGAAAGCGAGAUGAGAGCCCUGAUGAGCCAUUUCCCUUCAGAAUCCAUCUCAAGACAAAGAGGAGGCCUCUAAGGAAGAAGGGACCCGGGGUGUGCUGGAAACUGAAGAUCACUUCCACAAACUGUUCCCAAAAGGAAUUACCAUGCAGCCAUUGGCCCAUUCAAAAAAUAAAAAUAAAAAGGUUAUGAAGAUUAAGCCAAUAAGUCUGAGAGGAAGAUAAAAAUCACAGGGGAUGUGUGCAAUGGCUCACACCUUUAAUCCUAAGACUUUGGGAGGUCAAGGUAGGUGGAUGGCUUGAGCCUAGGGAUUCGAGACCAGCCUGGGCAACAUAGUGAGACCCCAUUUCUACAAAAAAUACAAAAAAAAAAGCCAGGUGUGGUGGCAUACACCUGUGGUCCCAGCUACUUGAGAGGCUGAAGUGGGAGGAUUGCUUAAGCCCAGGAGGUCGAGGCUGCAGUGAGCUACGUACGAUCUCACCACU
RNAcentral lists this long non-coding RNA (867 nucleotides) under Homo sapiens (human). RNAcentral's name for it is "HSALNT0276249". The record is from RNAcentral. Lineage: Eukaryota; Metazoa; Chordata; Mammalia; Primates; Hominidae.